UGAGGAAUAUUGGUCAAUGGGCGGAAGCCUGAACCAGCCAAGUAGCGUGCAGGAUGACGGCCCUAUGGGUUGUAAACUGCUUUUGAAGGGGAGUAAAGUGAGUGACUUGUCAUUCAUUGCAAGUACCCUUGGAAUAAGGACCGGCUAAUUCCGUGCCAGCAGCCGCGGUAAUACGGAAGGUCCGGGCGUUAUCCGGAUUUAUUGGGUUUAAAGGGAGCGUAGGCGGCCUUUCAAGCGUGUUGUGAAAUGCAGUGGCCCAACCACUGGAUUGCAGCGCGAACUGGGAGGCUUGAGAGCGCACGACGCAGGCGGAAUUUGUGGUGUAGCGGUGAAAUGCUUAGAUAUCACGAAGAACCCCGAUUGCGAAGGCAGCUUGCGGGAGCGCAUCUGACGCUGAAGCUCGAAAGUGCGGGAAUCAAACAGGAUUAGAUACCCUGGUAGUCCGCACGGUAAACGAUGGAUGCCCGUUCUGCGGCCUUAUGGCCGCGGGACCAAGCGAAAGCAUUAAGCAUCCCACCUGGGGAGUACGCCGGCAACGGUG
RNAcentral lists this ribosomal RNA (541 nucleotides) under uncultured bacterium. RNAcentral describes it as "bacterial SSU rRNA". It matches the Rfam family "Bacterial small subunit ribosomal RNA", at positions 355 to 896 of the family's 1533-position model. The record is from RNAcentral.